UCGCCCAGUGUUCCUGUCCACCACCGCUCCCUAGCCUGUUUCUUACCAACGCCAGGUCUCUUGCUAACAAGACGGAUGAACUAAGGCUACAGAUGUCUGCGA
Long non-coding RNA from Syngnathus acus (greater pipefish), 102 nucleotides. RefSeq lists it as uncharacterized. The record is from RefSeq and is a predicted model, not a curated record. The transcript has 4 exons. NCBI's taxonomy places the organism in Eukaryota, Metazoa, Chordata, Actinopteri, Syngnathiformes, Syngnathidae.